This 408-nucleotide ribosomal RNA is filed under the name uncultured bacterium. RNAcentral's name for it is "partial 16S ribosomal RNA". It matches the Rfam family "Bacterial small subunit ribosomal RNA", at positions 28 to 526 of the family's 1533-position model. The record is from RNAcentral.
GACGAACGCUGGCGGCGUGCUUAACACAUGCAAGUCGAACGAAGUGGCGAACGGGUGAGUAACGCGUAAUCAACCUGCCCUUCAGAGGGGGACAACAGUUGGAAACGACUGCUAAUACCGCAUACUGAAGGAGGGGAUUGCGUCUGAUUAGCUAGUUGGAGGGGUAACGGCCCACCAAGGCGAGGAUCAGUAGCCGGUCUAGGAGGAUGACCGGCCAAAUGGGAACUGAGACACGGCCAAGAUCCCUACGGGAGGCAGCAGUGGGGAACUUCCGGAAAGGGACGAAAGCCUGACGGAGAAAGGCCGCGUGAGUGAGAACGGCCUUCGGUUUGUAAAGUUUUUUUAUCGGGGAGGCGGUACCGGAAUAGAAAGCCACGGCUAACUACGUGCCAGCAGCCGCGGUAAUUC